UACGGGGGGGGCAAGCGUUGUUCGGAAUUACUGGGCGUAAAGGGCGCGUAGGCGGCCUUCUAAGUCGAACGUGAAAUCCCUGGGCUUAACCCAGGAACUGCGUCCGAUACUGGAAGGCUUGAAUCCGGGAGAGGGAUGCGGAAUUCCAGGUGUAGCGGUGAAAUGCGUAGAUAUCUGGAGGAACACCGGUGGCGAAGGCGGCAUCCUGGACCGGCAUUGACGCUGAGGCGCGAAAGCCAGGGGAGCAAACGGG
This 253-nucleotide ribosomal RNA is filed under the name uncultured bacterium. RNAcentral describes it as "partial 16S ribosomal RNA". It matches the Rfam family "Bacterial small subunit ribosomal RNA", at positions 524 to 776 of the family's 1533-position model. The record is from RNAcentral.